This 206-nucleotide ribosomal RNA is filed under the name uncultured bacterium. Its description in RNAcentral is "partial 16S ribosomal RNA". It matches the Rfam family "Bacterial small subunit ribosomal RNA", at positions 568 to 774 of the family's 1533-position model. The record is from RNAcentral.
UACGUAGGCGGUUUAUUAAGUCAGAUGUGAAAGCCCCGGGCUUAACCUGGGAACUGCAUUUGAUACUAGUAAACUAGAGUAUGGUAGAGGGGGUAGAAUUCCUAGUGUAGCGGUGAAAUGCGUAGAUAUUAGGAGGAAUACCAGUGGCGAAGGCGGCCCCCUGGACCAAUACUGACGCUGAGGUACGAAAGCGUGGGUAGCGAACA